This 480-nucleotide ribosomal RNA is filed under the name uncultured bacterium. Its description in RNAcentral is "partial 16S ribosomal RNA". It matches the Rfam family "Bacterial small subunit ribosomal RNA", at positions 28 to 507 of the family's 1533-position model. The record is from RNAcentral.
GACGAACGCUGGCGGCGUGCUUAACACAUGCAAGUCGAACGAUGAAGAAAAGAAUUGAAGCUUCGGCAGAAAUUCAUUUCGGAUUAGUGGCAGACGGGUGAGUAACGCGUGAGCAACCUACCUCUUACAAAGGGAUAGCCUCGGGAAACCGGGAUUAAUACCAUAUAACAUUGCGACGAAGCAUUUCGAUGCAAUCAAGGCUACGGCGGUAAGAGAUGGGCUCGCGUCCCAUUAACCAGAUGGUGAGGUAACGGCUCACCAUAGUAACGAUGGGUAACCGGCCUGAGAGGGUGAACGGUCACACUGGAACUGAGACACGGUCCAGACUCCUACGGGAGGCAGCAGUGGGGAAUAUUGCACAAUGGAGGGAACUCUGAUGCAGCGACGCCGCGUGAGUGAUGAAGGAAUUCGUUUCGUAAAACUCUGUUCUAUGGGAAGAAAAGGACUGUACCAUAGGAGAAAGCUCCGGCUAAAUACGUG